RNAcentral lists this long non-coding RNA (1227 nucleotides) under Fragaria vesca (wild strawberry). RNAcentral describes it as "long non-coding RNA (FVES_LNC005071)". Lineage: Eukaryota; Viridiplantae; Streptophyta; Magnoliopsida; Rosales; Rosaceae. The record is from RNAcentral.
GGGAAUAAUAACGGUAAAUAGGGUUGACCGCUACUAUCGGCACCGAGACGUUACCCGGUUUACGUGAUUUUUGAACCAUAGGCGUAUUUCACUAUUCUGAACACAUCUUAUUUCACAAGACUUUUGAUAAUUUUGCUUCCUAUGUAGAGUUGGUUCACAAAGAAGUUAUAUAACAUUAGUAGACACGUUGUGAUUCCAAUGACUAAAAUUCACAAACCAAAAUUCGACCACCAGAUAUGAUCAUUAUAACGAAAGAUGUCUAUGGUAAAAAAUUUAACUAGAUUCGACAACGUUAAGGGCUCGAUCGAAACGGUCAACUCUAAUCGGAAAUAAGAAAACUGCAUUUUGAAGCCCUAAACGGACUCGGAUGGCCAAAAAGGCUCAUAUUUCAUAGCAAAGCUAUGUGUUUGACUCGUAAGGCCGUUACGCUUCCGGAAAGGUAUCACAAUAGUCAAUCGGACACCGAACGCCAAAUCUGCAGCAUAUAUACCGGGUUUCGACUGUUCUACAUCAGAGACGUUACCUGAUUUACGUUAUUUUUGAACCAUAGCCGUAUUUCACCAUUCUGAACAUAUCUAUUUCACGAGAUUUUUGAUAAUUUUGCUUCUAUGUAGAGUUGGUUCACAAAGUUGUGUAUUUGUUUAAAACCUACUAAGCAAGUUAUACAACAUUUUAUUAUUUUUCUUUUAACCGACGAAAUAGUAGUAUCGUCGGCUAAAGUUGUGAAUAGCCGACGACUUUUUUCGAUAAUAGCCGACGAGAUUUUUUUUCGUCUACUAAAAUACUUUAGCCAACGAGUAAAAACUUUGGCCGACGAAGGAAAACUUUGGCCGACGAAAAAAAAUUUAGUCGGCUAAAGUAUAGUAUAGCCUAGCCGAUGAAAAAAUUUCUUUAGCUGACGAAAUUUUAAAUUAGCCGACGAAGGAAAAUUUCGUCGGCUAACGUUGACUUUAGCCUAUGAAAAAAUAAUUCGUCGGCCUGGUUUUUUUAUUUUCGUCGGCUAAAGCCUUUCUUCUGAUAAUGAGAGAAAGGUUUUGGAGAGAGGCAGCGAUGCAUCUCUUCUUCUUUUUUUUCACUUGUGGUUUUGUGAAAUCAACAUAUAUAUAUGGGCCAAUGAUAAAAGGGUACAGUUAGAUGUAAUAAAUGAUAACACAGUUAAUAAUAUUCAUUGAUGAUAAACAGUACCUCUAUUAAAUCUCUUAAAGCGUUACCCAUGAAAAUAAAAAA